Molecule: ribosomal RNA, 509 nt
Filed under: uncultured bacterium
Lineage: Bacteria
Description: bacterial SSU rRNA
Rfam family: Bacterial small subunit ribosomal RNA
Source: RNAcentral
AACGAACGCUGGCGGCGUGGAUAAGACAUGCAAGUCGAACGCUCGUUCCGGGGUAGCAAUAUUCCGGAGCGGGAGUGGCGCAAGGGUGCGUAACACGUGGGUCAUUUGCCGUGAAGCUGGGAACAACUCGUUGAAAGACGAGCUAAUACCCAAUGUGCUCCGCAAGGAGUAAAGCCGGGGGACCGCAAGGCCUGGCACUUUACGAUAAGCCCGCGGCCUAUCAGCUAGUUGGCGGGGUAAAAGCCCACCAAGGCUAAGACGGGUAGCUGGUCUGAGAGGACGACCAGCCACACUGGAACUGAGACACGGUCCAGACACCUACGGGUGGCAGCAGUCGAGAAUUUUUCACAAUGGGCGCAAGCCUGAUGGAGCGACGCCGCGUGGGGGAUGAAGGGCUUCGGCUCGUAAACCCCUGUCAUUCGCGAACAAUGGCGCCGGCCUAACAUGCCGUCGUCUGAUAGUAGCGGAAGAGGAAGGGACGGCUAACGUCUAGUGCCAGCAGCCGCGGU